ACGCCCGACACCUACGGGAGCCAGCAGUGGGGAAUAUUGCACAAUGGGGGAAACCCUGAUGCAGCGACGCCGCGUGGAGGAAGAAGGUCUUCGGAUUGUAAACUCCUGUUGUUGGGGAAAAAGAGGAUGGUACCCAACAAGGAAGUGACGGCUAACUACGUGCCACAGCCGCGGUAAUCUGAGCGGGCUGGCAAGGC
RNAcentral lists this ribosomal RNA (197 nucleotides) under uncultured bacterium. RNAcentral describes it as "partial 16S ribosomal RNA". It matches the Rfam family "Bacterial small subunit ribosomal RNA", at positions 328 to 539 of the family's 1533-position model. The record is from RNAcentral.